CGGGUGUGUUGAGACUGCACGAGAAUGACUUUAUUUUGGUCUGUAACGAGCUUGCUCUCUUUUCUAAAACUUAUCUCUGGGCGGUGAACAGAAGACCGCGCGCUCCCGUUAAGCCUUUCGUGCCCCGGAAAGGGGAGAGCAGAAAAGUCGUGGGACUGACAUCACUAAAAUACUUCUGACACUUUCAGGGAAGCCAUACUUGAAGUCUGAAUGAGACGUUACAAAAGAGAAACAGCAGGCAGUAUAAACCCAGGUGGACAACUUUGAGGACGUUUGGCAGCACAAUAUGAAGAUUGCUGUUGUUCGUGCUUCCUACGCUGAAGAUCCUGUAGAUGUCUCUCUUAUUCUUGACGGCAAGGAGGUUGUGACUGGAUGUGGAAAUACUGCAAAGGCAUGUACACUGCUAAUGGGUCUGAUAUAUUCCCUCAAUCUUGCUUAUCCUCCAACACUGCGUUACACUUUUAAAGUGUUCCAGAAGCUUUUCUUAGAUUUAGACGCAAUAAAGCUAUCCCCCAAAGUACAAACUCUGAAAAUGAAGUUGCUGUCCAAAACUUAAAAGAUGACAUUUUAUUCAGCUUUGUUCAGCUUGGUAUGCCAUUGCCAUUAUAGCAGUUUAUGCUAUAAAGUUGUAUUGUUAUUGUGUAACUCUUGCACAUGCUUCAAAGUCGUUAAUUGUUCAUGAAUGUUAAUACAGCUGCAAAACUUAUGCAGCCAUUUCUCACAGCUGUGCCUUCAGAAAGGACUUUUAGUUUAUAAUAGUAUGACAACAGGGCUGCACAGUGGCGUAGUGGUUAGCACUUUCGCCUUGCAGUAAGAAGGUCCCUGGUUCGCGUCCCGGCUUUCCCGGGAUCUUUCUGCAUGGAGUUUGCAUGUUCUCCCUGUGCAUGCGUGGGUUUUCUCCAGGUACUCCGGCUUCCUCCCACAGUCCAAAAAUAUGCUGAGGUUAAUUGAUUAUUCUAAAUUGCCCGUAGGUGUGAAUGUGUGAGUGCUUGUUUGUCUAUAUAUGUAGCCCUGCGACAGACUGGCGACCUGUCUAGGGUGUCCCCUGCCUUCGCCCGAGUCAGCUGGGAUAGACUCCAGCACCCACUGCGACCCUAGUGAGGAUUAAGCGGUGUAUAGAUAAUGGAUGGAUGGAUGGAUGGAUAG
This is a long non-coding RNA of Amphiprion ocellaris (clown anemonefish), 1146 nucleotides long. RefSeq lists it as uncharacterized. The record is from RefSeq and is a predicted model, not a curated record. Lineage: Eukaryota; Metazoa; Chordata; Actinopteri; Pomacentridae. The transcript is spliced from 4 exons.